This 301-nucleotide ribosomal RNA is filed under the name uncultured bacterium. Its description in RNAcentral is "partial 16S ribosomal RNA". It matches the Rfam family "Bacterial small subunit ribosomal RNA", at positions 509 to 807 of the family's 1533-position model. The record is from RNAcentral.
CAGCCGCCGCGGUAAUACAGAGGGUGCGAGCGUUAAUCGGAAUUACUGGGCGUAAAGCGCGCGUAGACGGUUUUGUAAGUCAGAUGUGAAAUCCCUGGGCUCAACCUGGGAACUGCAUUUGAGACUGCAUGGCUAGAGUAUCGAAGAGGGAAGUGGAAUUUCCGGUGUAGCGGUGAAAUGCGUAGAUAUCGGAAGGAACACCAGUGGCGAAAGCGACUUCCUGGUCGAAUACUGACGUUCAUGUGCGAAAGCGUGGGGAGCAAACAGGAUUAGAUACCCCUGUAGUCCCUGUCUCUUAUAC